GUUCGAGAAGAGGCUUCGCACAGAGAGGAGCUCUGUUCGCGAGCUCCUCUCUUUACCUUUGAAAAACAUGCUUGCACUUCUCCUGGCUGUUGCGGGCUGACUCGGCAUUUAUUUAUUUCAGUGCCACUUCCCUUUAAUUGUGAUUACCUGAAACCAGGAGUGGUAUCUUCCACGGACUCAAAAAACUGCACAGGGAGGAGAAGCUGAAGAAGCUCAUUCCGUGGCACACACAUUGCAGGCCGUGUACUCAUCAGGAUCCAAAAGAGCAAUGCGAAGGGAUGGCAAGAGGCUUCUGGAUGUCCAGCCAUGGCAAUGUAACUCACCACAGUCCAAUGCCCAAGAAUUACCAGUGCAUCGCAGCAAUGGUUUUCUCCAUCCGUGAGUUCAACAGGGAUCCAUGCACCUACCCAAUACCAUGCUGGGCUUCCACAUCUCUGAAGACAGCAGCUAUUCAAGGAGGACAUACAAGGUCAUCCUAUCUCUGCUCCCCACUGGGAACCAAGAGGUCCCUAACUAUAAAUGUAACAAACUGGAGAAUCUGUUGUCUGUCAUUGGGGAUCUCAUUCUCCCAACCUCAAGGCAGAGGUCAUCAGUCUUCAGCUUCUUCCUCAGGCACGAGGAUUUCUCUCAAUAAAGAUGGUGUGAAUG
Molecule: long non-coding RNA, 648 nt
Organism: Hemicordylus capensis (graceful crag lizard)
Lineage: Eukaryota; Metazoa; Chordata; Lepidosauria; Squamata; Cordylidae
Exons: 3
Source: RefSeq, a predicted model, not a curated record